UUGGAGGGCAAGUCUGGUGCCAGCAGCCGCGGUAAUUCCAGCUCCAAUAGCGUAUAUUAAAGUUGUUGCAGUUAAAAGCUCGUAGUUGAAUUUCGAGACCGGUUUAUUGGUCGUGCUUUUGUACGUACUGGUAUUAUUGGUUUCUCCUCUCUGACGAAUCUUAAUGCCAUUAAUUUGGUGUUUUGGGGAAUCAGGACUGUUACUUUGAAAAAAUUGAGUGUUUGAAGCAGGCUCACGCUUGAAUACAUUAGCAUGGAAUAACGGAAUAGGACGUUUGAUUCUAUUUUGUUGGUUUCUAGGAUCGACGUAAUGAUUAAUAGGGAUAGUUGGGGGCAUUAGUAUUCAAUUGUCAGAGGUGAAAUUCUUGGAUUUAUUGAAGACUAACUACUGCGAAAGCAUUUGCCAAGGAUGUUUUCAUUAAUCAAGAACGAAAGUUAGGGGAUCGAAGACGAUCAGAUACCGUCGUAGUCUUAACCAUAAACUAUGCCGACUAAGGAUCGGAUGAUG
Molecule: ribosomal RNA, 507 nt
Filed under: uncultured Glomeraceae
Lineage: Eukaryota; Fungi; Glomeromycota; Glomeromycetes; Glomerales; Glomeraceae
Description: SSU rRNA
Rfam family: Eukaryotic small subunit ribosomal RNA
Source: RNAcentral